This 467-nucleotide ribosomal RNA is filed under the name uncultured bacterium. RNAcentral describes it as "partial 16S ribosomal RNA". It matches the Rfam family "Bacterial small subunit ribosomal RNA", at positions 28 to 507 of the family's 1533-position model. The record is from RNAcentral.
GAUGAACGCUGACAGAAUGCUUAACACAUGCAAGUCCACUUGAAUUUGGGUUUUUAACUUAGGUUUGGGUGGCGGACGGGUGAGUAACGCGUAAAGAACUUGCCUCACAGCUAGGGACAACAUUUGGAAACGAAUGCUAAUACCUAAUAUUAUGAUAAUAGGGCAUCCUAUAAUUAUGAAAGCUAUAAGCGCUGUGAGAGAGCUUUGCGUCCCAUUAGCUAGUUGGAGAGGUAACGGCUCACCAAGGCGAUGAUGGGUAGCCGGCCUGAGAGGGUGAUCGGCCACAAGGGGACUGAGACACGGCCCUUACUCCUACGGGAGGCAGCAGUGGGGAAUAUUGGACAAUGGACCGAGAGUCUGAUCCAGCAAUCCUGUGUGCACGAUGAAGUUUUUCGGAAUGUAAAGUGCUUUCAGUUGGGAAGAAACAAAUGACGGUACCAACAGAAGAAGUGACGGCUAAAUACGUG